This 467-nucleotide ribosomal RNA is filed under the name uncultured bacterium. RNAcentral's name for it is "partial 16S ribosomal RNA". It matches the Rfam family "Bacterial small subunit ribosomal RNA", at positions 28 to 523 of the family's 1533-position model. The record is from RNAcentral.
GACGAACGCUGGCGGCGUGCUUAACACAUGCAAGUCGAGCGGAAAACUUCGGUUUUCAGCGGCGGACGGGUGAGUAACACGUGGGCAACCUGCCUCACAAUGAGGGAUAGCCUUCCGAAAGGAAGAUUAAUACCUCAUAACACAAGAGAAACGCAUGUUUCUCUUGCCAAAGAAUUUCGUUGUGAGAUGGGCCCGCGGCGCAUUAGCUUGUUGGUGAGGUAACGGCUCACCAAGGCUUCGAUGCGUAGCCGACCUGAGAGGGUGAUCGGCCACAUUGGAACUGAGACACGGUCCAAACUCCUACGGGAGGCAGCAGUGGGGAAUAUUGCACAAUGGAGGAAACUCUGAUGCAGCAACGCCGCGUGAGUGAUGAAGGUCUUCGGAUUGUAAAACUCUGUCUUCUGGGACGAUAAUGACGGUACCAGAGGAGGAAGCCACGGCUAACUACGUGCCAGCCGCCGCCGUAA